AGUACCGUGAGGNAAAGUUGAAAAGAACUUUNNNGAGAGAGUUCAAGAGUACGUGAAACCGUUCAGGGGUAAACCUAAGAAACCCAAAAGAUCGAACGGGGAGAUUCAUCGUCAGCGGACGCCGGCUUCGCGUCCGGUCGGCGAUGUNCCCGCGGGGGCCCUCGCGGCUCUCAGCGCGGGCACGCUGCCGUGCGCCGAUGUCCGGCUUCGCCGUCGUGCACUUCUCCCCUGGUAGAACGUCGCGACCCGCUGGGUGUCGGUCUACGGCCCGGGGUGCGGUGUCGGCCGGCUGCCCGGCGGUACGCGCAAGGUAUCAGGCCGCACACACAUUUGAACGGUGCGUCGAGGCCGUCGCAAGCGCGCGCCACGGUACACGGAGGUACGGACCUAGCGCCGUCACCGGUCCUGGCCCGCUGUUGGUCGUACGGUUAACCUUCGACAGGCCUACGAAACGUYCCAGCGUUGGGGGUCGCGGGGNCNCGUCUCCNGCNCUCUCUCGC
RNAcentral lists this ribosomal RNA (500 nucleotides) under Myrmica sp. 2 MAS-2009. Its description in RNAcentral is "eukaryotic LSU rRNA". Lineage: Eukaryota; Metazoa; Arthropoda; Insecta; Hymenoptera; Formicidae. The record is from RNAcentral.